AGAGAGUGCAAGCGUUAAUCGGAAUUACUGGGCGUAAAGCGCACGUAGGUGGAUAUUUAAGUCGAAUGUGAAAGCCCUGGGCUUAACCCGGGAACUGCAUCCGAUACUGGAUAUCUAGAGUAUGGUAGAGGGAAGUGGAAUUUCCGGUGUAGCGGUGAAAUGCGUAGAUAUCGGAAAGAACACCAGUGGCGAAAGCGGCUUCCUGGACUAAUACUGACACUAAGGUGCGAAAGCGUGGGGAGCAAAC
Molecule: ribosomal RNA, 247 nt
Filed under: uncultured Coxiellaceae bacterium
Lineage: Bacteria; Pseudomonadati; Pseudomonadota; Gammaproteobacteria; Legionellales; Coxiellaceae
Description: partial 16S ribosomal RNA
Rfam family: Bacterial small subunit ribosomal RNA
Source: RNAcentral